Non-coding RNA from Monodelphis domestica (gray short-tailed opossum), 1162 nucleotides. NCBI's taxonomy places the organism in Eukaryota, Metazoa, Chordata, Mammalia, Didelphimorphia, Didelphidae. The record is from RefSeq and is a predicted model, not a curated record.
ACCGCAGGAAGCUCCAGUGUCAGGCUCCUCCUCCUCACUCUUUCGCUUUCACUUUCCCAACAGCAAGGGGAUCUUCCAGUUGCUUAAGAAUUAGAUGGAAAAUGAAAGGGGAGGCUUUCCCCUUUUCCCCAACUGCUGGAACCCGGACUCUAAUAUCUGCACCUGGCCGAGUCUUGUGAGAGACAGACACACCCACACAACAGCACAGAGUCUUGGGGAACAUCUACAGUUGGGAGAGGUGGAGUCAAGAUGGUGUCUUAGACGCAGCAAAAGUCCAGAACUCUCUAAAACCCUUCUACACCCAUCAAAAACAAGGUGCUUCGAGGGGACAGAAAACCAAAUCUAACCGCAAGACAGAGCUGGGAGACCCUCCUGCUGGAUUCAGCUUAAAAGGCAUUUCUCUAGGUUGGGCUUGUACCUGGCCAUUAUUAUGCCUGCUGCUCUCAGCUGUUCCUUGCUUCUCUUUCUUCUGAACUUCAGUUGGAAUCCUCUGCUAAGAAGCUACUUCUUCCCUAUAAAAGGAUAAAGUCAUCAGUCCUAUGAUAAGACAAAAGUAAGGAUGACUGGUGAUGGCCCAGGAUGCAGGGGAUGACGUUGGCAUCUUCAAUAUCUGACCAAGUUCUAAGCCCUCCAUUGCACCUACUUUAGCUGCCUUCAUGACCACUGGAACAAAUGGUUCUCAUCUACCCAUUCUUCUGGAGAAAGUCUUCACUUGCUUGAAGUAGAUACCCCUAACUCACUAACAGGAUGGUCAUCACUGGCAUAUUACAAAAUCCAAAAGUGAGAGUUCAGUAAAAUGGGGAGGCUAAGAUCAUUGAGAGAAUGCUUGGGCUAUCAUCACCAGCAUGCAGAAGGAUGGAACAGCAACAGAGCUCUGGAUCAUAGAUACUUAUGUAUCUCCACAAUCUUUGUGAGCAGGAAGAGGGACCCACACUUGUCCCACAAGAAGAGAAGACUGAGAUGGGAAGGCAAGUGCCUUUGCCCUAAACAACUAAUACUCACAUAGCAUUUAAUGCCAGAUUUGGGCCUUCAUCCCCAAUUUCUCUAUUCUUAGUCAUUUUGCUUCGAGUCUUUGUGUGGGAAGAGGAAGGAUUUUUUUACUCAUGUGUUUAAUGACCUCUUGGCCAGGAACUUGCAAAUAAAAUCAUAUUAACACUACAAA